AACGAACGCUGGCGGCAUGCCUAACACAUGCAAGUCGAACGAGACCUUCGGGUCUAGUGUCGCACGGGUGCGUAACGCGUGGGAACCUGCCCUUAGGUUCGGAAUAACUCCCCGACAGGGGUGCUAAUACCGGAUAAUGUCUUCGGACCAAAGAUUUAUCGCCCUUGGAUGGGCCCGCGUUGGAUUAGCUAGUUGGUAGGGUAAAAGCCUACCAAGGCGACGAUCCAUAGCUGGUCUGAGAGGAUGAUCAGCCACACUGGGACUGAGACACGGCCCAGACUCCUACGGGAGGCAGCAGUGGGGAAUAUUGGACAAUGGGCGAAAGCCUGAUCCAGCAAUGCCGCGUGAGUGAUGAAGGCCUUAGGGUUGUAAAGCUCUUUUACCCGGGAUGAUAAUGACAGUACCGGGAGAAUAAGCUCCGGCUAACUCCGUG
Molecule: ribosomal RNA, 433 nt
Filed under: uncultured bacterium
Lineage: Bacteria
Description: partial 16S ribosomal RNA
Rfam family: Bacterial small subunit ribosomal RNA
Source: RNAcentral